RNAcentral lists this ribosomal RNA (348 nucleotides) under uncultured bacterium. RNAcentral's name for it is "partial 16S ribosomal RNA". It matches the Rfam family "Bacterial small subunit ribosomal RNA", at positions 338 to 683 of the family's 1533-position model. The record is from RNAcentral.
CCUACGGGUGGCAGCAGUGAGGAAUAUUGGUCAAUGGGCGGAAGCCUGAACCAGCCAAGUCGCGUGAGGGAAGAAGGCCCUACGGGUCGUAAACCUCUUUUGCCGGGGAGCAAGGGCGGGGACGUGUCCCGGCCCGGAGAGGACCCGGAGAAAAAGCAACGGCUAACUCCGUGCCAGCAGCCGCGGUAAUACGGAGGAUGCGAGCGUUAUCCGGAUUUCUGGGGUUUAAAGGGUGCGUAGGCGGGCUUUUAAGUCAGCGGUAAAACUUCGGGGCUCAACCCCGUCCGGCCGUUGAAACGGGGGGCCUUGAGUGGGCGUGACGCAGGCGGAAUGCGUGGUGUAGCGGUG